CGGCCCCGCGCAAGGUGGGCUUCGGCGCGCUGUAGGCGACGACCGGCAGACGUGGAAGGGCCCGGCGGUUCGACACCGCCGGGCCCUUC
RNAcentral lists this transfer RNA (89 nucleotides) under Streptomyces capillispiralis. Its description in RNAcentral is "tRNA-Thr". Lineage: Bacteria; Bacillati; Actinomycetota; Actinomycetes; Kitasatosporales; Streptomycetaceae. The record is from RNAcentral.